Daktulosphaira vitifoliae (grape phylloxera) is the source of this 759-nucleotide long non-coding RNA. RefSeq lists it as uncharacterized. NCBI's taxonomy places the organism in Eukaryota, Metazoa, Arthropoda, Insecta, Hemiptera, Phylloxeridae. The record is from RefSeq and is a predicted model, not a curated record. The transcript has 3 exons.
CUGAUAUCAAAAUAACAUUUAGGUUUUGUGCUACCUAGUGAUUAAAAUCACUGAUAAAAAUGCUAGAUUAGAUUUGUAGAUAGUGAUUAAUUUUAUGUAGUUGUUGGAUUAUUCCAAAAGCAACAUUCAACUCCUAUUUCCUUAAUUAUAUUCUUACUACAAGUUAUAUAAGUGUAAUACAUAAAUAAAAACUUAUUUUGUAAUUAAAUUUAGCAUGAAAUUUAUAUUCAAUAAUUUAAUAUUAUAACUUAUGGAGAAAUAUAAAGUUAUUGUAUAUUUUGUCUCCACGGAAAAGGCGUAUCACAAAUGCGCCUCAUGUGCUUCAAAACGACCAUUUACAUUAGCAAUUUAUCAUUUUAUGGUUUAGCAAUACGCCAUAAUUACAACUCCAUUGAAGAUAUGAAAAAUGAGAUAUGGGCCACAUUAUUUCACAAAAUUUUAUAAUAUAAUUUCUGCAUGGAAGCCAACGUUUUACUUGUUAAGCUUACUGAGCGAUUGUUAAAUGAUGCAGUAAAAGAGGUACGAUCUUUGCUAAAAUCGUUGAGAAAAGAAAAAGAAAAUAAAUUUUCUCACUUGAAAUGGCAGCUUUGUGGUCUUGAGAUUGCAGAUUAAUGGUUGAAAUUUACUCCAAUUCUGCUACUUGUGGCUACGGCGCGCUUUUUUAAGGCAAUGUCAGAAAACCACUGAACUGACGCCAUUUUGAACUAUUUUUCAAUGAAAAAAUUAUUUUUUAUACUUUAAUAUAUGGCCAAUAUAAUA